GACGAACGCUGGCGGCGUGCCUAAUACAUGCAAGUUGAGCGCUGAAAGUUGGUACUUGUACCGACUGGAUGAGCAGCGAACGGGUGAGUAACGCGUGGGGAAUCUGCCUUUGAGCGGGGGACAACAUUUGGAAACGAAUGCUAAUACCGCAUAAAAACUUUAAACACAAGUUUUAAGUUUGAAAGAUGCAAUUGCAUCACUCAAAGAUGAUCCCGCGUUGUAUUAGCUAGUUGGUGAGGUAAAGGCUCACCAAGGCGAUGAUACAUAGCCGACCUGAGAGGGUGAUCGGCCACAUUGGGACUGAGACACGGCCCAAACUCCUACGGGAGGCAGCAGUAGGGAAUCUUCGGCAAUGGACGAAAGUCUGACCGAGCAACGCCGCGUGAGUGAAGAAGGUUUUCGGAUCGUAAAACUCUGUUGGUAGAGAAGAACGUUGGUGAGAGUGGAAAGCUCAUCAAGUGACGGUAACUACCCAGAAAGGGACGGCUAACUACGU
Molecule: ribosomal RNA, 496 nt
Filed under: uncultured bacterium
Lineage: Bacteria
Description: partial 16S ribosomal RNA
Rfam family: Bacterial small subunit ribosomal RNA
Source: RNAcentral